This is a long non-coding RNA of Hydra vulgaris (swiftwater hydra), 816 nucleotides long. RefSeq lists it as uncharacterized. The record is from RefSeq and is a predicted model, not a curated record. NCBI's taxonomy places the organism in Eukaryota, Metazoa, Cnidaria, Hydrozoa, Anthoathecata, Hydridae.
GACGGCCCUUCGCAUCUUUAGAAUACAUACAAAGCUUUUAUGAUGGAGGGUUUCAAUCAUUGCCAAGUUCCAUUUAUAUUAGCAAACAAGCUACUCUUCGUCAAAUCGAAAAGAUUAUUAUUCAAAGUGGUAAAACGCUAUCUGAUUAUAAUUUAUCUGUUGUUGAUGAAUUCAUGAUCAUUCAAUUUCAAUCUUAUUCCUAUAAAAGAACUCCAUGACUUCCAGCUAUUAAACGAACAGCUCAAAACAGACUACAACAUUUCUAAAGCUCUGGUUUCUCAUUUGAGCAGUCUUGGAGGACGGAAAGUUUUUGAAGCUGUUUUGAAGCAAGGAUGAUGAAAGCAGUGAUGCCAGAUUACAUAGCUCUCCAAUUUAAUUAUAGUGGAACAAACAAUAAAAAAGGAAUAAAGGGAACUGAAUUUUUCAAUAUAUUGUGCAGUGCUGUCCAGCAAAAUGUGCUCACUUCGAGUGCAACUGCGAAAGAUAUCGAGAUAGCUAUAGGCAAAUAGUUUACUGGGGCGCGAGAUCGGGGUGGCAAACGAGCGGAAAGAGCCAAAAGAACAAAGGAAACGAGGCUACGUCAAAAGGGAGAAACAACCUGAAAGCAGGAAGUGAUUAUAAUAUAAAUUCAUGCAUCAAUGCAAAUUUGUUGCCUGCUAUGUACAUUUUUUUGCUAUCUUAUUACUUGAUGUACAUAUCUCUUUUUUUUGAAUAUUUCUAUAACUGGUGUUUCUUGUUAAGUUUGAGAACAUUUUUAUUUACAUUAUAUACUUGAUUUAAUUUAUUGUUUUUGUUAUAAACAAAUUCUUUUAAUAA